GGGGAAGAGGGCUAUGGCCGGAGCUUGAGAUACGCCGCUCUGAAUCUUGCCGCCCUGCACUGCCGCUUCGGUCACUAUCAACAGGCAGAGCUCGCCCUGCAGGAGGCAAUUAGGAUUGCCCAGGAGUCCAACGAUCACGUGUGUCUCCAGCACUGUUUGAGCUGGCUUUAUGUGCUGGGGCAGAAGAGAUCCGAUAGCUAUGUUCUGCUGGAGCAUUCUGUGAAGAAGGCAGUACAUUUUGGGUUACCGUACCUCGCCUCCCUGGGAAUACAGUCCCUUGUUCAACAGAGAGCUUUUGCUGGGAAGACGGCAAACAAGCUGAUGGAUGCCCUAAAGGACUCCGACCUCCUGCACUGGAAACACAGCCUGUCAGAGCUCAUCGAUAUCAGCAUCGCACAGAAAACGGCCAUCUGGAGGCUGUAUGGCCGCAGGUAGGUCUCCCAAGGCCCUGGGGGUGUGAAUUCUUUAGAGAGAAGCAGGAGCUAGCAAGCUGGUUCUGUGAAAGGCCAUACAUACAAGAUUUACCUGCCUUGGAUAGAUGUUGUUCCUGCAGGGGAUUAGACAAAAUGUUUUAUAGUCUAAAACAUUUUGUAUUUUGCACAGACUGAAAACUUUUUUCCCAUGCAUGUUCCUUCUUACUCCUCCCAGCCACUUUGUGAGGUAAUGGGUGGGUGAUCUCCAUGCUGGGAGAGUAAACCAGGGUUCACACAUCUGAUCUACCCGCGAUCGCAAACGCAGUUAACAAGUGACAGAGAAAGGACUCAAACCCACGUCAUCUGACUCCAAGCACCGGGCUCCUCUGCUCUGUGACAGGAACCUUUCUUCCUGUUUAUAGGAGGCAUGAUCCAUGGUUGCUCUAGUUGAGUGUCACCUGAACCCCAAAACUAUUGUGUAAAGAAAGUUGCUUUUCUGUUAACUGAGGUGUUUUCUGUGGAUUAUUUUCAUCUUAUUGUGUACUUUCACAUUUAGCCACUUUUAGCCUGGAAGUAAACUUUGUUGCCGCAUUUUAAUCCUGGAGUUCUGUCGCUACCUCACCCCUCACUUAGACAGUCUGUUUCUAGGAAUUCAGUAAUGAAAGGAAGUGCCUUUUUUACCAGUCUUGUUUUUGUAUUUCAGAUAAUUUUUUGGCACGGUGUGCUCUGAAACAGCUGCAGACACUGGCCACUGCUUACAUUGCCAGAGCAGCCUGUGCCAGGAUGGCAUCGGGUCUGAAUUCACCCGUGAAAACUAAUUAACAUACUAUGACUGCAGGGAACAUGGGGUGGGGGCGGGGGGAUCUGGGAGCGUGUACUCCCAGCUGUGCCCUAACCACUACGUGUCUCCUCGCGCUGCACAUCCAGGAUGCUUUUCUGCCUUUCUUAUCCUGAGGGCAAGGUUGCUGGCACUGGGAGGCAUCUGCUCCCAAGAAAGCCAGAGCCUGUGAGGUGUAUGACUUUACGCCUCCACUCAAGAUAGCUGACGGGCAUGGCCAAAGCGCAGCCAGGUCUGCUGCUGAAAGGAAAUCCUGUUCCCUCUCCCCACCCAGCACCAUGGCACUGCAACAGGCCCAGAUGUUGCUGAGCAUGAACAGCCUGGAGGCGGUGAAUGCGGGCGUGCAGCAGAACAACACGGAGUCCUUUGCUGUUGCACUCUGCCACCUCGCAGAGCUACACGCGGAGCAGGGCUGUUUUGCUGCAGCUUCUGAAGUGUUAAAGCACUUGAAGGAACGAUUUCCGCCUAAUAGUCAGCACGCCCAGUUAUGGAUGCUAUGUGAUCAAAAAAUACAGUUUGACAGAGCAAUGAAUGAUGGCAAAUAUCAUUUGGCUGAUUCACUUGUUACAGGAAUCACAGCUCUCAAUAGCAUAGAGGGUGUUUAUAGGAAAGCGGUUGUAUUACAAGCUCAGAACCAAAUGUCAGAGGCACAUAAGCUUUUACAAAAAUUGUUGGUUCAUUGUCAGAAACUGAAGAACACAGAAAUGGUGAUCAGGUAAGGGGUCUCUUGUGCAUCUCACGGAGAUGUGGUGGUGGAUCUUCUCAUCCUGUGUUUUCCUCUUUACGGUCAGUGUCCUACUGUCCGUGGCAGAGCUGUACUGGCGAUCUUCCUCCCCUACCAUCGCGCUGCCCAUGCUCCUGCAGGCUCUGGCCCUCUCCAAGGAGUACCGGUUACAGUACUUGGCCUCUGAAACAGUGCUGAACUUGGCUUUUGCGCAGCUCAUUCUUGGAAUCCCAGAACAGGCCUUAAGUCUUCUCCACAUGGCCAUCGAGCCCAUCUUGGCUGACGGGGCUAUCCUGGACAAAGGUCGUGCCAUGUUCUUAGUGGCCAAGUGCCAGGUGGCUUCAGCAGCUUCCUAUGAUCAGCCGAAGAAAGCAGAAGCUCUGGAGGCUGCCAUCGAGAACCUCAAUGAAGCCAAGAACUAUUUUGCAAAGGUUGACUGCAAAGAGCGAAUCAGGGACGUCGUUUACUUCCAGGCCAGACUCUACCAUACCCUGGGGAAGACCCAGGAGAGGAACCGGUGUGCGAUGCUCUUCCGGCAGCUGCAUCAGGAACUGCCCUCUCAUGGGGUACCCUUGAUAAACCAUCUCUAGAGAGGACAUCCCUGCUGGGCUGCUGUGCAGAGUAUAAGAUUUUGGACUUGUUCAUGUCCCCUCUCUCCCUUUAAAUGAUGUAUUUGUGACACCCUAUCUUGUCAAUAAACAGCAUUCUGAUUAGUUUGUCUUAUUUUGUUGCUAGUAA
This 2713-nucleotide small RNA is filed under the name Pan troglodytes (chimpanzee). RNAcentral describes it as "retained intron". Lineage: Eukaryota; Metazoa; Chordata; Mammalia; Primates; Hominidae. The record is from RNAcentral.